RNAcentral lists this ribosomal RNA (253 nucleotides) under uncultured bacterium. RNAcentral's name for it is "partial 16S ribosomal RNA". It matches the Rfam family "Bacterial small subunit ribosomal RNA", at positions 524 to 776 of the family's 1533-position model. The record is from RNAcentral.
UACGGAGGGUGCGAGCGUUGUCCGGAAUCACUGGGCGUAAAGGGCGCGUAGGCGGCCUGAUAAGUAGGGGGUGAAAUCCUGCGGCUUAACCGCAGGGCUGCCUUCUAAACUGUCAGGCUCGAGCACAGUAGAGGCAGGUGGAAUUCCCGGUGUAGCGGUGGAAUGCGUAGAGAUCCGGAAGAACACCGGUGGCGAAGGCGGUCUGCUGGGCAGUAGCUGACACUGAGGCGCGACAGCGUGGGGAGCAAACAGG